Molecule: long non-coding RNA, 37521 nt
Filed under: Eucalyptus grandis
Lineage: Eukaryota; Viridiplantae; Streptophyta; Magnoliopsida; Myrtales; Myrtaceae
Description: long non-coding RNA (EGRA_LNC006278)
Source: RNAcentral
ACGAUUCCCAUGAAAAAACAUUCUGCCGCUAUAAUCUCCGCCUCUCUCCUCCUCCUUGUUUACGGGGGUGAUUUCCCAUCUCUAUCGUCAUCUGCCGCUCCGCAUAGCUUCGAGCUCCAAGCCUGCGACGCCACGAUCACUUGGGAUCGAGAGUCGUUCGAGGAAGUCGACGAGAAGCUCCCGGUUGAACACAAUUCCCUCCCCACCGCUCGCGUUAACAGAGCAGAAGCAGAGUCUGCAAGAACCCAACAAAACCCUCGCAACCACAAUCACAAGAGCAGCCAUGGCUGAUUUCUCCUACCUUUCCGACACCGACGACUCCGCGGUGAGGUGACUCCGCGGUGGAAGACCUCAUUUCCCAGACCAAGGACCUCUUCAUCCUCGAGCCGAAUCGCGCCAUCAACUGCUCAUCGGAGGACGCAAUUUUCCCGCUGCCAAAGCGGAAUCCAGACGAGAAAUCGCGUUGGAAGUCCACCACGAAGUACGAUCCAGACUUCACCGAUGAAUUAUUCCGAUUUGUGGAGGAGGACGAGGUACUGUCGGAUUUGGGGGCGGUCUCCGCUAAAGAGCAGAAGAAAAGUUGCGGAAGAAGGCAAUGAAGGAGCAGAGAAGAUCGCGAGGAUGGCGAAUCAAAUGCAUGGGUCGGCUGUAAUUUAUUUUUACUCUAAUCUUUUCAUUUUUUCGCGCUUCCGCGUUAGUCGUAACAUGAUUUGUUGCUUUCUUGGCAGAUGUGCCCUUAAAUAUCAGUAUACUUCAUUACUGAAUAGUAGAGAUUACAAUCUCGGCCAUAUGUUUUGGUUUCAAUAUAAGGAGCAACUUUUUCACAUAAACAUGAUUCGAAAACAAAGAUCAAACCAUAGAUGCCGGCAAACUGCUUGGGUACGACCUAACUAGGUCGAUUUCGAAAUUCUCGUCGAAAUCUUUAAAUGACAUUACUUCUAUGAUUUGAAAGAGGAAAUGAGCGUGAACUGGCAUUAAGAGGAAAUGAGUAGUUUGGCAAAACCACUGCUAAAUCAAAUGAUCUGGUUGAAAUUCAGGCUGAGCUGUGUGGAACUUUAAUGCCUUUCUCAAGUCUCAACUAGAUAGAGUGGUCUUCUUAGACUCUAAACCUGGUGAUUUCACUCGUGCUAAUGCUUAAAGCUUAAUCAGGGAGAAAAAGGCCAAGGUAACUCGGCAUUGGCUAAUGUGGUUUAAUCCAAAUGUGCCGACAUUUUGCUAAGUAUCUUGGCUUGCUAUCCUUACCAAGUUGCAGCAGACUAGUGAUAGAUUGUGAAAAUGGCAGAACAUGAAUGGUUCUGUGUCCUCCGUGGACCAAUGGUAUAAGAGGUUUUGUUGGGGAUUCGGAUGCUGAGUUUAUGUGGAUGUUGCAGAUAUCAAAGGGGAGAUCUCUGGUAAGUUUUAUUAAAGGUGGCAAGGAGUGGUGUCAUUUAUUUCUCAUGGAAGGAAAGAAAUACUAUAGUUCACAAUGGGAGAGUUGCAAGUGCUGAAAAGGUUUCCGAGAGUAUGUUGUUUGUGGUAAGAUUGCAGUGCAAUUUUUAUUUUUAUUUUUUUGUUAAAGGUACUUUUUUCACUCAGACAUAAGGAAACAUCAUAUAGCCUAGAAAGAAAUCACAUUACACCGCUUUUCAUGUAAUUGCAUCAUAAAAUGCCGUAUCAAAGAGACAAUCACAAACGAUAUGCUUUGUUUAUACUCAAAUGGGCAAUAUGGAUAUAAAGAUUGAGCCCAAAGCAAAGUAGAUCCAUCAUUGAAUUGCCUAUGGAUGAUUGAUGGGCUACAAAAGAUUAGGAAAAUUGUCCCAAAAGUCAUAAACCUUUUGCCUUUUGCCAAUUUAUUUUUAAAAUUUUCAAUGUUAUCAACUGAGUCUUAAACAUUUUCGCGUUCUAUCAAUUAAAGUACAUUCAGCCAAUUUUCGAUGAAUAUCGCUAACGUAAACACCAACCAUCCUACAUGACAUGAUUGACGCUAACAUGGACUUUUUUUAAUAAUAUUAAAUAUUUUUCGUCUUUUUUUCCUUUUUUUCUCUUUUUUUUUUUCCUUUUCUCUUCUCUUUUUUUCUUUUCUUUUCUUCUUUCUUUUUCCCUUUUUUCCUCUGCUAGCCACUACCAAGCCUCUUUGAUGACUCGUGGAGGUCACCGACCUCAGGCAAGGGCUACCCUCGUCGACCCUUGGCGAGGGUCACCUUGCCUAGGUAGGUGAGGGCUUGAGGCGCACCAAAGGCCAAUGACCUCCACCGGCCAUCAACGACACCUGGCGAAGGGAAAAAAGGGGAAAAAAAAAAAACAAAGAAAAGAAUGAAAAGUGAAAAAUAGAAAAAAUUAAAAAAAUAUAAUCUAAAAUAGUUAACGUCAAUGUUGGUCAUGCCACAUAGAAAUGGCUGGAACGCCAGCAUCCACUUCAGUAAUUUGCAGCCAAAAUUGACCAAAUCAACUCAAUGAGCAAAAUGUGAAAAAUGUUUAUAACUCAAUUGGCAAAAUUAAAAAAUUUAUAACUAAAUUAGUAAAAGCGUAAUAGGUUUAUAAUUUUUUUUUUUAACAAUUUUUCACCCAUAGAUUUCAUGCUUUCUUACUUUAGCAAAUGAGGACCUUGUUUGCGGCACCGUAAUGCGUCAAGAUGUCAUUAAGGUUAAAAUAGAGGAUCGUGGAAAGGUUGAGUGUGUGUGGGUCCAUGUUCCCAAGUUUGUUCCCCCUAGCCCGGCCUGGGACUGGUGCUUGAGGCGGUCCCGAGCGCUCAAACUUGGGACUUUGAUUGCACUCAAGACUUAUUCUCAAAUGUCUAUUUCGUAAUUUUCUUGUAACAAAUAUCAGUAAAUGAAUUUUCUAUUAUUUGGCAAAUACAGACCAACAUGCCUUGAAAAUAAGUUCCUUUCGAAAAAUUUCUAGUAAAGUUCAUUUUUCGAGAAAUAAAUGGAGCUUGAGGUUUGAACAAACUGACUUGAUUGAAUAUGGGAUUGAAUGUAAUAAAUUUGUUGUUCCUUGUGAACUGAUGAGCAUUGUUUGCACGAAAGGAUCUUGAUGUUGCCAACAACACAAUUUAGUUUCCUUAGUUUUCUAUUUAUUUCAAAGAUAGAAACAAAACAAACAAGCAAUUGAAAGUGGAUGCAUUUUUCUAUAAUUGAUUGAGUACAGCCAGAGAAAGUGCUAAUGCUGCAAACAGAAGUCCGAGACUGAUCCCUCACCCCGGCAAUCUAAAAGGGCUAUAGGAGCAACCAAAGUCUUCACUCCUUCCCUCAAUUCAUCCCAUUGCAUAGACUUGUAUGCUAUUGUCACAACUUAUGAAAUGCAUACUCUUUGUCUAGAAUGGCAGGGAAAACUUAGUGCCGUUUUUUAUUACUUACAUUUCAAACAUCCAUUUGGGUCAAAGGUAAAGUGAGCCUAACUCUGCUUUCCAAUUGUGAGAUUAAUGUAAUGCGUUUCUACCGUACUCUCACAUCCAGAUCUUAGCUUCUUCAAACAAUGUCUCUUCGUUACCGCCUCUCAGUAAUGAAACUCAUUUAGAAAGGUAUCUCUCGCUUUUCUAAAUUUAUUUUCUAGAUCUGGAUGGUGCCAACGAUAUUAUAUUUUUUGUCUUUGGUUUCUAGCCAUUUUGGCAUGAACAAAACGAGCACUAGGAAAAUAUUAGGCGACCAUGUUAGGCUAUGGCACCAUCCAAACGCUUGUGAUUGUUUGGUACCAACAAUUUCCAUAAGACAAGGGCCAAUUCCACCUCUAUUGUCCCUCCCAAUAAGUGAAGACUGUUCAAAGUUUGAAUAGUCUUAAUCUCUCCAAAACAUUACAUCAUGGAAAUUACAUUCCUCAUCAGUGGCCAAAGGGAAAUGUCUGUCACGCCCCGAUCCUCGAGCAUGCACCCAUCCCUUAUUUGGUCGAUUAACAGCAACGUCUUAGGACGCAUCGUCGACCCAUUCAUUUCAAUACGCAUGCGAAAGCAUAUAAAUAAUCCCUAGACAAUAAAACAAUGAAAUAGGAAAGUAGGACCAAUUUUUCACAAAAUACCUUUUUAUAAACACACAAGUUUAUACACAAAGGUCUUCAAAAGAAAUCGGCUCUUUACAAAAGAGAAUUUUCCUACAACUAACUAGUCGGACAUAGUCACCGAUUCUUCGAGCUUCACCUCCUUACUCCAAGCUCCUGGUCCUUUACCAACACCAUCUACAGACCUAAAAAUGGUUAUAUAAUAAUCAGUGAGAUAAUGUCUCAGCGAGUUCUACUCCCUAAGACUCGAUUAUGAAGCUAAUACGCCAUAAAGGCUACCUAAGCACAAUACGAGUCAGAGAACUUACCUUAGCCUCAGUCUUCUUCUUGCAAGUCAGUACAAUUCAAAUAAACAUCCAAUCAAUCACUACAGAUCAAAUCAUCGAUCAAUCGACUGAGUGAAUUACAUAUAAUCACAAUCUUCCCAUGGUCGGUACAUUCAAUACUAUCUAUAAAGUACAACCAUAGUCUAGGACUAUUCACCUAAAGCUGAAAAUAGAUAGUAUAGCUUGCUUGAAACUAAUAAUAUAGUAUAUGGUAUAUAUGCUUGCCCAAAGCUGAUAAAUUAGGGGCCUCAGGCCAAUUUAGUAUACUAUAUAUGCUCGCCCAAAGCUGAUAAUUAUUGCUCGCCAAAGCUGAUAUAAUAUGCUCACCCAAAGCUGAUAAUAUGGUAUACUAUAUAUAUAUUCACCCAAAGCUGAUAUAUUAGGGCCCCCUGGCCAAAAUAGUAUACCAUUUCAAUCAUAUGACCAACUCAUCAUUUUUAUCAUACUCAAUAAAAAUAGCCGUGUAUGGAUAUAUGGUCAGCCUUAGCCAAACUACCAUAAUUUCAAAAUUAAACUUUCCACUAGCUUUAGUAGUCUAGAAAUAUAAUUUUGGCGCUGUAGACCCACACCCGGUAAAAUCCGAAUUAAUUAUUAGAAUUAAUUAAUUUAAAGAUAAUUUCCUAAAUUCACAAUUAAAUCGAAAUCAGCACAAUAUAAAGCUCAAUUAAAUAAAUAGAUCACACCGCUGCAAUGAGCGUAAUUUUCCAAUUACCGGCCAUCACGUCUGAUUGGCUUGGCUCCGUGAGAUCCGCUUCAGUGGAUUAAUGGACAGCAACGGAACUCGGAGGAAAAAUGGGCGACAAAUGCGAGAGAGAGAGAGAGAGAGAGAACCGAGAGAGACUGAGGGCGGCAGGUGUGUCGGCAACGUGGGGAAGAAGCGAAGCUUGACUCAAAAGUCAAGGCAAAUGGGAAGAAAAAUGGGGCACGACAGAGAGGAAAAAGGGGACGUCGGCGUGGGGAAAAGGUGAUCGAGAGAGAGAGACAAGAAAAAGGGAAAGGAAGAGGGAUGUGCGCGGCCAAGGGGGGAAAAGGAGAUAGGAAAAAAAUAAGGAAAACUAAAAGAAUUUUCUAUAAUCCAAAAAUCUUUGUCUCACUUGCUUUUAUUUAGUCUAAUUUGAUCCCCAAAAAUUCCCAUGCUAAAAUACUUGAUUCUCAUUUGCUUUCUUGCACAAAAUUUCCCUCCAACAACAAAUCUUAGGCAAUAAAAAUGGUCAUUUUCUUCAAUUUCGAAUUCUAAUUCAUUUUUCUCGGAAUCCGAUUUUCUAAACAAAUUUAUCCGGUUGAGGUCUGAUUUGAAUGCAUAAAAAGUCCAAACAACUUCAAUUCACACCAGAUGCCAAAAAUCCAUUCAAAUGGGCAAAUCCGAAUUUCCAUUCGUUUUCCGAAUUGUCCGAAUCGAUUUUACGUAAAAAUCCCGAACUCAUCGAAAAUUCCUCGAAAGAUGAGUCAAUGUUUCUAAAAUGACCUAUGACAUGACAAGACUUUCAAUUUCUAAAAUCAUAUUCAAAUUCGCAGUUAAUUUCAAUCAGACGUGAUUUUAGCGUAACCUAACCUACCGAGUAGCUUUCAAAACAUUUGAGUGCAAAUGACUCAUGGUCGAUUUUCUUCGAGCCACUAUGAACCUCUUCGACACAUUGACAGCUCUUAGUUGUCGUGAAAAUCUCAAGGUUUCAAAUACGGACACAGGGUAUCAAAACAAUAGAAAAAUCAAUUUAGUGUCGAUCGAUGAUAAUUUUGGAAUUUAGUGGAAUCACCCACAUUUAACCACAUAUCUCAAUCAAACUGACCUAUCUCUGAUUUUUAGUCGAUCUUACCGUGUCGUAAUGAUAUCGGCAGAUGAACACGGUCGAAUAACUGAUUUCUGGUCGAAUCUUCAAGUCUUAUUGCAUUAAAAUCUCUUAAUAACUUCCACGGACAGUUUAGUUGUCUCAAGAGUGAUUAGCUCUGAGAAUAGUACUAUAGGCGUGUCAAUGAAAUGCCCGAUUUAUUUAAUUGAAAACAUGAUUGAAAUUCCAGGAUGUCACAAUGUCCUCAAAUCAUGCAUUCAAAGAGAAAACAGUGCUAAUAUCAUAAACAAACUGGUCCAACCCAAAGCAGUUAUUGGGCAAACAAGAGGGGCCGAAUAAGCAUUCAAAGUCUUCAAUUCGACCCCCAAUUUAUAACAUUUUAUUGACUUAUUUGCUGCUAUCACAACUUACGAAUGGAUACAUUUGCUUAGAAUGGAGGAAAUAACAUCAAACCUUCUUAUCAACCACACAAGCCUUUCAUCUUAUUUUUCCACGGGGGGACCAUUUUUGUGAAGGGGACCAUCACAUGUUGCUAUGCAACACCCUUUGAUUUGCAAAUUUUUGAACUAACUGUUAGUUGACCCAAAGUCUUCCAUGCAAAUACAAAUCUAUUUGUCAAUUUUGGUUGAAUAAUCUCAAUCUCUUCAAAGCAUUACAUCAUGGAAAUUACAUUUCUCAUCAGUGACCAAAGGGAAAUGUUUUCAGAUCAUGUAUUCAAAGGGAAAACGGUGCUAAUAUCACAAAUAAAUAGGUCCAACCCAGAGCAGUUAUUGGCCAAACGAGAUGGGCCAGAUGAGCAUUCAAAGUCUUCGAUCUUGACCCCCAAUUCAUACUAUUUCAUUGACUUGUUUGCUGCUGUCACAACUUCCGAAUUGAUAUAUUUGCUUGGAAUAGAGAGAAUAACACCAAACCUUCUUAUCAACUACACAGGCCCUCCAUCUUAUCUUCCACAGAGGGACUUUUUUUGAAGGGGACCAUCACAUAUUGCUAUACAACACGCUUUGGUUUGCAAAUUUUUUGGACUAACUGUUAGUUGACCCAAAGUCCUCCAUGCAAAUACAAAUUUAUUUGUCAAUUUUGGCAUGCUUGCUUGCCCCUAUGCAGCAAGUGCCUUACUUCCAUAGUAGCAUUGCUCUGAACACAGUUAGAAAAAUAGAUAUGAGAACAAAAUAGGAUUUAACCUACCCACUAUCUUUGAUCAUACAUCUAACUAGAAUUUCUAUACACAUAAAGAGUUAUGUUUUAAAGUUUAUAAGGUAUUUUAUAAUUGUAUACAUGGAUAGAGAUUAAUUAACAAAUAUCCAUGAGAAUAAGAGAUUUGCUAGGAUUUGAUUACAAAAAUACAUGAAUCUAUUACUUCUUGCAAAGCAAUUAGAGAUGUAUUACCAAAAUAAGCAUAAAAAUUGGAGAGUUGCCAGGAUAAGAGAUUUUAUAAAGUGAACAUAAAAAUAAGUGCUACAAAAAACUCACACUUGAAAGGAGAAAAGUGCCAAAAAAGUCAUAAACCUUUUGCCUUUGUGCCGAUUUAGUCCUAAACCUGUUUUUGGUGCCGAUUCAGUCUUAAACCUUUUUAAGUCGUGCCAAUUCAGUCCUUUUGGACGAAUUUUGCUAACUGGACGCCGGUCGGCUGACGUGACCUAAUCGGCGUUGACGUGGAUAACUUUUAAUAAUAUUUUAAUUUUUUUAUAUUUUUUUAUUUUUUUUAUUUUUGUCUUUUUCCUCCAGCAGGUCGCCGAGGUCCGGCAACUGGCCAGAGGCCACCGUCGGCGAGGCCGAGGCCGAGGCCGACCUCGCCGGAUCUAGUGAGGUCGAGCCUCGUCGGCCCUUGCCGGCCAUGGGCGAGGCUCGCCCAUGUCCUGAUCUGGCGAGGUCGAGCGAGGCUUGCCCAUGGCCGGCGCAUGAACCCAUAGGGCUUUACNNNNNNNNNNNNNNNNNNNNNNNNNNNNNNNNNNNNNNNNNNNNNNNNNNNNNNNNNNNNNNNNNNNNNNNNNNNNNNNNNNNNNNNNNNNNNNNNNNNNUUCUUUUGAAAAAGUUUUUGUUUGGCAGCGAGGACUCUAGGUACGUCCAUAACAUUUAAGGUGUUAAAUGUUUUUGCAGGAUGGGAGGUAUAAGGGGAAGUGUUUGUUAACCUUUGUUUUGCAGGGAGGUGUAAGAAUGUAUGGUUUAUUUUCAUGAACGAAGUGUUGCUUGAUAUAAACUGCCGUGCAUGCCUUGCAUCUAGCACUACACUAUUGCACACACAACCUACCGCCGGACCUGGGCCGCAUUAAGAUCAUCUAGGAUGGUAUUGAAAUGGAUACCACUCUGACCGCAUGCUCGCGGUACGAGUCGCCCAUCUCAAUCCCGAAGUUUCUUUCAUGGUGUCAAGAGUACCCAUCUCGGUCCGCAUGCUCGCGACCCGGGUCGGCUCUUUGACUAAGCCGGAGUCAUGAGGACCCGACAUAGUCCACAAGCUCGUGGCUAGUCUGAUCAUCCUUGUGGCUCCACUUUGAUAAGCCUUAUAGAGUAGAAAUCGAACCACUUACCAUGCGCAUGUCUAUGUGAUUGCCGUCGAUUUGUUUUGGUGAAGUAAGUCUUCUACCCUUAUACUAUGUAAUUUACUUACUUUGUCGUACUUUUGGUCCGUCCAUGACAAUUUAGGUUAGUCGUUUGAUUUAACUCAUUUGUCAAUUGGAAAUGAAAUAAGGAAAUUGACAUGUAAUAAAUCAUUUUAAAAAAAAACUUUGGAGAAUUUGUUUUCAAUUCAUGUUUAGGAAAUUUGGUCUUGUUAGAGUGUCUAUCUUUAUUUUCCUAGUCCAUUUUUAGGAAAUACCCUUAUUGUACGAACUUUUCAUGAAUAAAUGAAAAAAAAUGGAAAAAUCGAUUAGAUCAUUGUCAUGGAUCAACCUUCUAUUUACCCUCAUGCUUACAUAUUCCCGUUCAUUUGAAUUAGGUGAUUAUGGAACGAUCCCGCUCACCCAUCUGUUCACGAUCGAGAGCUACAAUGAUGAAUCAAAAAGAGCUAAUCUCAUCAAGCAAAAGUGUUGCGAUUUAUCUUCAAUGAGAAAUUGUGACUCUAAGGAGAGAGCCAAGAAGACUUUUUGAACAGUAUCAUUUUCCUGAGGUAGCCAAAUUUGAUGCCAUCAUGAAGAGACUAGUGACAUAUAUAGAGAGAAAAAUAUCUGAUCUGAAGGGUUCGCCUCACAAGAUCAAUGAGGGUGAAGAAUUCAAGUACACAUGAUUCAUGGUCCUAAGUUGUUCCAUUUCCUCAUUUAAUUAGGGGCAUGCACUUUCCCCUGCGUGGGAAUUCUUGUCACUUUUUAGGGAUUAAUUUCAAUUUCCUCUGUGCUUGAGCAUCACAUUCCAAUAAAUGUAAUUUGAUUGAUGAAUAUCAAUAGAAUUACAAGUUUUGUUUUGAGGACAUGAUGGGGUACACCAAACUAGCCCGGUGACGAUAUCCAACAAUGAAAAGAAAAUAUCAUCCAUUGAGAAAAUUUGAGGACUGGGCUUCUUCAUGCUUCCUCAUCCAAAAUAUUCCUUAAAAUAAUCGUUUUUGAAACAAUUUCCAAAAGCAUGCAUUAGGUUACCCUUGUUUAAUUUUCUGACUCAUUUACUUCAUGUUUCAGAGCAUUACUUUCUUGACCCGAUAAGAAAGCAUUUGAAAAAGGCACAUUAGGUUGCAGUCGGUUCAACUCUUACUCAACGAGUUUCUAAAGAGUUAAUGUCAGUCACAUCUCGAUACUACUUUAAAUAUCCAUCUUGAAGGGCCAAACAAAGUGUGCUCCAUUUCCGUGCUUGACAGAAUUUUCAUUCUUGCCCAUUAAAUGAGGGGCAAGUUAAAAGAGGAUCAUCCAUCUUUGGUGAAAGAGGUACAUCUCGUCUUUAAACAUAAUUAAUUUUGGGAGAUGAUGCUUUGUUCUUUUCCUUGCAGAUGACGAAUUUGGGGCACUACAGAUUCUAGUAGUGACAUGACUGAGAUAAAAUCUCGAUCCGAGUCAAAAUAGUUGUGCAAUUUGAAUUUACUUUGAUGUUGCAUAGUAUCCUAUUCAUGCACGUUCUCUUGUACAGGGGCAAAAACGAGAACGGAGUAUUCAUCAAAUCAAAAAGCGGAUUUUCAAUCCAAGGACAUCCAUUGUUGAGACAAUCCCUUUGUGGAGCAAUCCCCUGAAUGAGUGCUUAAAACCAUGUUUUGAGUGUAAUAAAUUGUUUGUUUUGAAGUCACAAACACUUUUCAUGCUUAAAGUUGCCGGACUCUUUUGAAAAGAAAAUUUUCAUAUUGAUUUAGCUCACCAAUUUCAUAUGGAGAUUUGUCAAGAUAGACAAUUUAAUGGAGUGACAUCAAUACUUAAGAAUGCUGAAUGAGACGUGUCAAUAUGAUGAAAGGCAAGCUUUAUCCUAUACACAAUCCUCUACUUAUACACUUGUAAGAUGAGUGUAGGAAGUUUCAUAUUUACAAGGUAAAGAGUUCUCUCGCAAAAGGUACGAUGACCGAAAUGAUGAGGGGCAAUUCAUUUCUCUAUCCCAAACACUACAGGUGAUUCAUUGCUUACCCCUUUUGAGCCCCAUACACUUGUGGAGAUUCUUUUCAAAUUACCCCUGUCAAGAGCCACCCCACAUAGGGGCAAAUUGGAGGUAAGAUGGUACCAUAAGGUGAAAAAAUGGAUUGAAAUUUUCUUGCUCUCACUUGUAUCAAUCUUCUUGUCAUGCUAUUACAUUGAAUUCAUGUGGUAAUUUAAGUGUCUUAGAAUGACAAAGAGCAGUUCUUUCUCUACCGUACACACUUUUAUCCAUUGCAUAGCCCAUUUGAGCCUAUGAAUUCAUUUCAAAUUAAACCCAGUUGGUGAUCAUCCUCCACACUGGGGCAAGGCAAAAGGCAGAUGAAGACCUUUGAAAGUUCGAAUGUCAUUCAAAGUGUGAUUGCUUGACACAUGCAUUAUGCGCAAGAAUUGAAUUCAAAAUAGAACUAAGGGGCAUGAAAAAAGCAGUGUGCCUAGUAAAAGCAAGGCCAAUGCCCAUGAAAAAAAAAGUGAAAAAAAAUGAAUAAUAACUAUGGGGCAUGAAAAGCAGUGUGCCUGGUAAAAGCAAGGCCAAUGCCCAUAGAUGAAAAAAGAGAGUCAAGAUAAGGUGACUCUCAAUUGCAAGAAUUGAAUCCCAUUGGGGUAAUACUCAAAGAACUCAAAUGCUGAGUUUUUAUAAUCAAUGGGGCACUUCAUGAAGACAAUCCCUAAUGGUGAAAAAGAAAAUUGGUGGCAAUGCCAAGAUGAUCACCAACUCGCACCAUUCACACACAUUUUGAGCCUAAUGAUCAUUUCAUUUCUCAAUCCAUGAACCCAGCCUACGUUACAUCCCUUACAAGUCUCUUCAGAUUAUGGCACUUGAAUUAACAUAGGGGUUCACAUGUUUUAAGCAUCGCUCGAAGGAGUGCGAGCAAGACUAUUUCUUUCUCAUUUUGCAGGGUUCUUGACUUGUAAACCCGAAGAUGAUUGCGAAGCUGUUCUUUCAAUUGCCUUGACUCAAAGAGUCCCUUUGUUAAGCCAUUGACCAAACCUACAUUACGGUCCUUAUUAAAGACCUCUCAGAUUGGUAAGGUCGUACCACUUGCGAGAAUACUUGGACCCUUGUUGGUAUGAUGAUAGUAAGAUUGAGUAAUUUGAGUAAUUCUCAUAAAAUAGACAUUCUGAAUGAGAGGGAGUGAAAGUCCUUUCUAACUGAAAGUCUCUCAUUUAGCAUUUUUAAGAAAUCUAUGUCAUUAUCUUGAACGACAAUUAUCUUGUGUUGAAAUUUGGGUGAUGCAAAUAUGGUAAAGUCAUUAUGCAUGAACCCUUGAAUUUUGAAAUGUGCAUUCUAGAGUAGCUCAGAUUGUCUAUCUCUUUGAUGAAUGCAUAUCAGUUUUUGCUUUAAAUCAUGUCUGAUAGGUAAUUCAAGUUCCUUUCAAGAAUGUUUCAUGAUAUUAGGAGAUGAGAAAUCUCCACCAAGAGGUGAAAGACCUCCACAGGAUAUCUAAAUUCCAAAAGACAUUUUUCUCCAAGAAUAAGAGAUAUCACCAGGUAAGUAUAUCUCUACCAUACUCUAAAAUACUUGUCAUUGUGCAGGUAUUCUCUCUCAAGUGCAUCGACACUUGACAUGGUCAAGCUGUCUAGUUUUAUCGAUCUGGCGUGCUUUCGUAGCCCAGAGUCCUUUACAUCAACACUCAACGGAGUUGUCCCCCAAAGAUUUUUCCUCCAGAUUCAAUCUGAUUAAGGCGACCGAAGAAUGGUUCGGGUCCUGGUCGGAUGAUUUCUGCCGCAAGGUUGGGCGAUCGAAGAAUGGUUCGGGUCCUAGCCAAGCAAAACCUCAGUCUAGGCGACCGCAGAAUGAUACGGGUCCUGGAAAAGCAAUUUCCUCAUUCAGGCGACUGUAGAAUGGUACGGGUUCUGGAAAAAUAAUUUUCUUCGUUGAGGCGACCGUAGAAUGGUACGGGUCCUUGAUAACACUUAUUCCUUAUUCAGGCGACCGUAGAAAGGUACGGGUCCUGGAAAAUGAAUCCCCGUUUAGGCGACCGUAGAAUGGUACGGGUCCUAAACAAAACUUUUCUGUCGUACUGGGCGACCGUAGAAUGGUACGGGUCCUGGGAAAGCAGUUCCUUACAAAACAUUUCUGCCGUAUUGGGCGACGGUAGAAUGGUACGGGUCCUAGGAAAGCAGCAUCUUCACAAAGUCAUGUUACUAUUCUAGGCGACCGUAGAAUGGUACGGGUCCUAGACAAGUAACACCCACUACCUCGAAUUACUCUAUCCUCCUUGAAGGUAAGUUAUUCCAGGUAGGUUCAUUUAUCAUUUGCAUUAGCAUUUCCAUGCAUCAUAUAAAUUAAAAAAUGGAAUUCAUUUUCCUAAAAAAAUCAUUCAUUACAUGUGUAUAGUCAAAAUUUAGGUCUCAAUUUGUCUUUGAAUGCAACCUCUUCGAGCUCACCUUCAAAGAGGGGCAGCUGUUGAUACCUAAAUUUUGGCAACCCGUUUAGUCAUUUAUUGCAUUAAAAAAUUAAGGGUUAAUUUUAUCAUUGAAAAAAUAGUCAAUUGCAUAACAUAUAGUUUUAGGUGCAUUUAUGUUUUAAUUUGCAUUUACAUUGAGCCGGUGACAAAUGGGUUCAAAUUGAUGGUUAAGAACUUUAACUUGAUGAGUCAGGCUAAGUUCACGAAGAAAGCAAAUCGGUCCAAGCCCAUAUCCUCGGGGAGAUUUUAUGGAUUUAUCUUUAUAAGAUUUCAAUUGAAAAAGCAAAUAUUCCGUUUGGAAAAAAACAAAUAUUGCGUUUCGAAAAGAAAUCUACGUGGAGAUGAAUUUGGAAAAUUUUAAAACCCUAAUCCGUGCCCUAUAAAUAUGUAAAAAAUACCUAGGGUUGAAGGAGGCCACAAAAUUGAAACAUUCGGCCGCAUUGAGAGGGGUCCCAUUCCGUCGAGUAAAAAAAGAACACAAAAAGACAAAAGGUGAAAAAGGCAGCAUAAGAGAGAGAGAGCAGAGAGUUGACGUGAGAGAAAGUAAAAAAAAAAGAAAAGAAAAGCCCCCCACGCGACUGUUCAUCUUCCUCGCGAGGGGGGGUCUCCGCCGGCGCCAUUGCCGUCCGCUCCCUCCGGCGUCCGACCGUGCCGUCCCCGCUCGCCCGUGCCGGCAUCCGAGCCCCGACGUCCGUCAGCCGCACGCCGCUCCGCCUGCAACCUCUCGCUGCUUCGUCUGCCGAACCCCCACGCCGGUACGCGACCCGCCUGUCGAUCGCGUCCGCAAUCCGCCGCUGCAGCACCUCCGAGCGGCUCUUGCAGCAGCUCGCUGCCACCGCUGCUGCGAUUUGAUGCCCAGCUGCGACCCGCUUCUGCUCCGCCUCGCCACAGCCGCUUCUACCACCCGACGCCGUUGCUGCCCCGCCUGACGCCGAGCGACGCCCCGCCCCCGCAAGUGGCGCCGCCGCCCUGUCAAUCUGUCGCCGGAGCUACAACCCGAAGCUCUCGCCGCCCCAACACUGCCUCCGCUCGCCGCCUGCAGAUCUGAGAUCCCCACAGCAGCCGAUCCAGAUCCGACGCCCUUCCUCCUCCAGAUCCAGAAUCGCGCCGCCGCCGAGCCAACCUUCCCCGUGCCGCUGUGUCGCCAUCCCGAAGCCGCUUCGCCGCCCCGACGCCGUCUUCACCCUGCUCCAGCCCGCGCUCGGGGUCCCUCGCCCGCGACGCCCGCACCCAGCCAGACCCGCGACGCCGCCGCGCCAAUUCCCGAAGCUCCUGUUGCCGCGCCGCCGUCGUGCCGCUCCCGGUGCCCUUGCCGGAACCCUAGCCGGCGAUCUCCCCUCGCCGGACCGGCCACCAGAUUUAUUUUUUCUUUUUUCUUUUUCAAAAAAAAGGAAAGAAAAAAGAGAAAAGCAAAAGAAAAUUUAGGUAUUUUCUUUAUCUUAUUUUUGUUUUAUUUUUGCUAUUUUAUUUUAUCUUUUUAGUGUAAUUAUUCCUUUAAUGUGAAAUUGAAAUUCCAUGGUAUGAAAUUGCCUUGAAAUUAGUGCUUGUCAGUCCGAUUUUCGAGCUUGAAAUCCGACUCACAAUUACUUAAAAAAAUUGCCAAUCCGAUCUCCCGCUCGAGAUUCGAUUCGUGAUUUAUGUGAAAUUGGCCAACCGAAUCUCAUGCUCGAGAUAUGGUUCGUCGAUUUGAGUAUCAAUAUGGCUUGAUUUGCUGUGGCGUUACUUAAAUUAGCUUUCUUUAAAAAAAAUAUCAAAAAAAUGUAGUUUUAGGGUUUGUAUAUUCAUAAUAGGUAUUUUAUUUCGAAUUUUCCAAAAAUAAAAAAAAAUCAAAUCAAUUAAUUUAGGUCGCUAGUUCUUUUUUUUGGAUUGCAUGUUUAAUCAUUUGGCAAUUAUUAAUUUGGAAAUUUAAGAAAAUGAGAAAAAGGGAAAAACACAAAAAAAAAAAGAGGUCAUUAUGCAUAUGUCAUGUAAAAUUAGGGCAUCUUUUGCACGUCAUGGCAUAUUAGAAUAAAUUGCAUGUUUCAUUUUAAGUUUAGAUUGAUUUUUGCAUCUUAGGUUAGAGCUUGCUAGGUUAAGACAAUAUCUUAGUUUAAAUUAGGAUUUAUUCUAACCCGAUCCUUAAUAUAAGUUAGAUAGAAUUUUAAUCUAGAUAGUCAUGUUUUGCAUUUCAUAAAAAGUUAAAAUUUGUCUUAGGAUAAAUUAGUUGCAAUUUCUAGGAUAUAUUGCAUUUUUAGAAUAAAAAAUCAUGUGCACGUCAUAUAGAAUUAGGUCCAUAAAAUGCACGUCAUCUAGUGAUCGUUGUUAGAUUCAUUUAAUUAGAAAUUGUCCGUCAUUAGAUUAUGUCAUUUAAUAAAUGUCUCGUGAGACAUAGCCCGCAUAUUAAAUUGCACGUUGCAUGUCAUUUUAGUUAAAAUAAUUUUGUACUUGCAUUGCAUCACACGUCAUUAGAAUUAAGUCAUUCUGGUUAAUUUAGAUUGCAUAUUUAAUCAUUGCAUGUUCAUUAAGAAAUCAUUAGUUUUUUACGCAUUCAUAUAGUUUAUGAUAUAUUGACAUGCCAUAUCAUUUCAUAUUAGAUUAGAAGCAUUGCAUUGCAUAUGGACUAUAUUCUCGUUGAAAAAGAGAAAACAAAAAUUGAGUAAUUGCUUGUUAAUUAGAAACUAUAUCUAGGAUUGUUGGUGUGGAUUUUAAUUUAACAUUGCAGAUGCUUUCGUUGCUUUGAGGUAAGUCCUGCAAUUUAUUUUCUGCUUUACUUGAGUGUUAAAUUGGUGGUUUGCGCGUCUGCAUGAACACCUCACAUGUUAGGGAAUUAGUUUAAAAUCAAUCAAAACUGCUUGCCAAACAUUUUUCAAAAAUAAAAGAAAAGGUACCGAAAUGGCGUUAGAAAAGUCUAGCGUAACCAGGUCCCCGAAUUCAUAAUCUCUGGUUCGUAGGAGUAAAGUAAAUCUCCCGUUACUUUACUUGGGUUUCUAAUCGACCCAUCAAAAGAUUAGUGACGACUCCUAAUUGAAAACUAAUUGCAUGUUAAAAAUUUGAACUUAAGUCGCGAAUUGGUAUGGGUUUGGGAGAGCUCGAGUUAAGUCUGGGCUUAACAAUCCAUUAGCCAAAUCUUAUGUGGUUCACACCCGAAAAAUUGGGUCGCGACAGGUGAACUCACUUNNNNNNNNNNNNNNNNNNNNNNNNNNNNNNNNNNNNNNNNNNNNNNNNNNNNNNNNNNNNNNNNNNNNNNNNNNNNNNNNNNNNNNNNNNNNNNNNNNNNAAUUCUAUGGCGAGAUACCUUCUUCAUUCUAUCAACUUCAAAAUCUCUAAAACCUCAUCCUUGCCAAAAACGACUUCAGCGGAACUGUUGAACUUGACAACUUUGUCAAGUUCGAACAAUUGGGAGUGCUCCAACUAUCUUUUAACAGGCUAUCAUGCCGCACAAGUAGCGUGAAUGUUAUUCUUCCUCAGCUUUCGGCCCUAGGAUUGGCAUCAUGCAAUUUGAGCGAGUUUCCAGCAUUCUUCCAAAACCACGGGGGUUUGAAUUGGUUGGACCUGUCGAAUAACAUCAUUAGUGAAGUGCCCUUCUGGUUGUGGGAUGGCACUUUUAAAGACAUGCAGUACUUGAAUCUCUCUCAUAACUUCUUAACUGGUUUCGAUCGGUAUUACACGAUCAAUCCUUUAAUUAUGUACACGAUAGACCUAUAUUAUAAUAUGUUGAAAGGACCACCCCUGAAGCACCACCGUCAAUAUUGUCCUAUAUAGUAUCUGACAACAGGCUGACAGGAGCAUUGCCACCAUGGAUCUGCAAUUUGAGUUCAGCAAUCACACUAGACUUGUCUUCUAAUAAUUUGACUGGUGUACUUCCGGUUUGUUUGGGCAAUAUCAGCGAAUCUCUCAUCAUAUUGAACCUAAAAGGCAACAAUUUCCAUGGGAGCAUUCCCGAGGUAUUGGUGAGGGGUACACAAUUGACGAUGAUUGAUUUGAGUGACAACCAAUUGCAAGGCAAGUUACCAAGGUCAUUGGCCAAUUGCAAAACGCUCGAAUUCAUCAACUUUACAAAUAAUUUUAUUGCGGACACCUUCCCGUCAUGGUUGGGAUCUCUACCGAAUCUUCAUGUCCUUAUUUUGCGAUCCAAUAGAUUCCACGGGAUCAUAGAGAGGCCUAAAUCUAGCUCCACAUUCCUUAAGUUGCAGAUACUUGACCUCUCUAUAAAUGAGUUCGUCGGUAAGUUGCCCAUGGAAUUCUUUCAAUCUUGGAAUGCCAUGAAAUCCAGACGGGAGACUUUACAUACAUGCAAAAGAACGUACGGCCAAGAUGCUUCCGUGAGUUCACCUACUAUGGCAAUUGGGAUUUCUCCAUGAUAGUAAUUUACAAAGGGCUUGAACGGUAUUACCCAAAGAUCUCAGAAGUCUUCACGAUCAUCGACCUCUCCAGCAAUUCGUUCAAAGGAGAUAUCCCUAGUGUAAUAGGUGAUCUCAAGGGACUGCAAGGACUGAACCUAUCCAACAAUUUGCUCACUGGUCACAUCCCACCAUCGUUGGGAAAUUUGACAGCACUCGAGUCAUUGGACCUUUCUAGGAACAAACUCUUAGGACAAAUCCCCCCGCAGCUGACAGAACUCAGGUUCCUUUCUUUCCUGAACAUGUCUUACAACAAUCUGACCGGGUCUGUGCCGAGAGGGCGUCAAUUCGACAAGUUUUCAAAUGAUUCUUUUGAAGGGAACUUGGGAUUAUGUGGGGAAUUCAUAUAUAGGAAAUGUCAAGAUUUAGGGGAUACGUCAAGGCAACCUUCAACCGACCAAGAAGAAGACUUGGGAUCGCCAAUUAAACUCAAUUGGAAAAUUGUUCUGCUGGGAAAUGGGAGUGGCUAAGUGAUUGGAGUGGUUAUCAGAAAUGCAUUCAUCUCUUGGAAACAUGUUUGGCUUAAAGGAAAUGCCAGGUUAAGGCGAUGGCCUAGCUAGAGGCAGCCUAGGAGGGUUGGGAUCUCAUGGUCAGGCAAGUUUUUAAAUUUCUGUAGAUAUUUAAUUUACCUGAAUAACGAGCUAGCUAUUUCCUUCUUUUUCUUAAGUGUACUUGUUUCUUCAUAGCAUCUUUACCGUAAUUUAUGUAAAACCUCUGCUUGCUUCUUUUAAUCUCUCAUGACAUCUGCUAAUAACCUCUCUAAGUUGAACUCACUUUUUUUUUUCUUGAUAAAUCUAAAAAGUAAUUCUAUCUAACAAUGAAAUCAAAAUUACCACAUGGAUUCUUCUUUAUCCAAGGUCACAUCACAGGCUAGAAUCCAUUUACAGAUUCUAGUAAAACCAUCAAUAGCAAGGGUACAGUGUUCUCAUAACUUUACGCAAACCUAGGCUCUCAUCGUCGCUUCAAUCAUUGACCUUUUAUUUUUCAGUCACCACACAAAAUGUACAGGCACCGAGGUAUCAAUAUUUGCAAAAAAAAAAAAAAAGAAGUCCGCAUGUGGAGGCUGAUUGGACAAGUACUGUAACAAAUUAUUCUCUUGGGUCUUCUUCCUGUGUGUGCGUUAGUAAAUAGAACUCUCUCUCAUAGAGCAGUAAAUUAUGCAGAGAACCGACAUGGCCCAGUUGAAAUUACUGGACAAGUAAUAUGUCUGCUUGCUAAUCAUGAACCCCGGAAUUUACACACUGAAUUCAUUUGAUUUUUCUGUACAACCUUUUCUUUUUCCCGUGAAAGGAUCGUUUGAUAGAGUGGCUUCUCUACAGCUAAUUUAAUCACUUGGAAUGGUUCUCAAGAUAGUGAUCAGUUGAUUAUGGCUCCAAGUUAAUGUCGAGUGAACUCUUGCCAAUAAGAUCAUGGAUGAUGCAAAAAAGGAAAUCUGAUUUCCUGUAGUCUUCCUUUCCUUAUUGAAGUUGAAGUAUACGUUGACGUCGGAAAAGGGCUCAUAGUAUUUAUGCAUAAAAUUAUUCUGUUGUGAAGUGUCAUCUCUGGUGGAUAGUAGGUGCGCUGAAAUGUGCAGAACUUGCAAGAAACACACAUUGAGAGCGUUCUAACAAUAGAAUUGAAAGUAUGAGAAAACUCAUUCAUUGUGAUUGAUUCUUUUAAGUUCAGGCGUUAUCUAAGAUUUGGAAACGCUUGCUAAUGUUAUUACUUAUAUAGCAAUAAGUGAUUAUCAUGUAAUAAAACCUCCAUGUAUGACUUUAUUCUCAUUUCAGUAAUAUGUAUUUUCACAUACAACUUAAAUUCAGAAAAAAAGGUAUCUGAGAACAUAAUAGAAUUUAACCCGCCAUGGAUCUUUGAUCAUUCAUCUGAUGCGAAUCUGUAUAUACAUCAGUAAUAAUUUUUAAAAGUUUAUUGCCAAAUGCGUAAAUCGAUUGUUUUUUGCACAUCGAUUGGAUUACCAAAAUAUGCAUAAUAAUUAGAGACUUUCUAAUAUCAAAGAUUUUCUAAAGUCCGUAAAAACUAAAUUUCUAGGCAAAACUCACACGUGAGAAAUACCCAAUUUGAUUUUCAAGUAUUAUAGCCUGAAGAUUUCAUCUUUUUCCCUUCGGCAAAUGGGGACCUUGGUUGCUGUAUUUUAAUGCGUGUAGACGCCAAGAAGGAUGAAACAAAGGAUCUCAAGAAGGUUGGGGCAUACGUGGGUCCAUCUUCUCAGGAUUGUCCCUCGAGGCCGGGACUGGAACUCACGCCCCAGCCCGAGUCUCCGGCACCCGAACUUGGGACCUGAUUUGUACCGGAGACUUGUUCUCAAAUGCAUCCUUCAUAAUUGUUUCUUGACAAAUAUCAAAAAAUUACUUCUGUAUAAUACAGCCAAACAUGCUUUUAAAAUAACAUCCUUUUAAAAAGAAUCCUAGCAAAGUUUAUUUUUUGUUUUUAAAAAAAAGAUAGAGUCUAAAGUUCCGUUUGUUUCACAUAAAAUGUGACAUUCCAGAAAAUCAUUUUCCAGAAAAAUAAUAUUAUUUUUUAAAGUUUGACUGAAACUUGAAAAUGAACUAGAAAAUAUUUUCUUCCCCUCAAUAUGAAAUACCCAAUUUGAUUUUUUUGAAGAGACUUACCAAAAUAUUCAAAUUUUUAUUAUUUUUUCCUUUUUUUUUUUUUUUGCUUUCUUCCUCCGCCAAUCGCCAACCAACACAAUGAUUGACAACCUGCCAUAGGCUAGGGACAAGCCCCUCAAAGUUGAUGUAGAUCAAGCUCGCCAGAUUCUAGCACGCCAGGCCAAGCCAACCUUGGGCAAGACUCCACCUCACUAAAUUGGCGAGCUCGGGCCUUGCCGUCUUUGGGCAAGUUGAUCCCUCACCGUGGCUAGCCAAAGAAGGAGGAAAAAGAAAAAUAAUAAAUAAUAAAUAAUAAAUAAUUCAAAUUUUUAAUAAAAGAAAAGAAAAAGAAAGAUGAGUGAAAAUGAUUGGAUUAAAUGAAAGAAAGAGUAAAUAAGAGGAAAUCAUUUUCCUCACUUUUGAAUAUGUUUUUCCCAAUGAUGAAAAAUAUUUUUUUGAUUAAUUUAUUUUCUUUGAACCAAACAUCAGAAUAUCGAGAAAUUUUUUUUCCUAAAAGUUGUUUUAUAAUGAAACGAAUAGAGCCUAAGAUUUCACAAACCCCCUUGAUUGAAUUACGGAGUGAAUGUAAUGAAAUUCUUGGUCUCGGACUAUGUAGUUUAUAGUGAAAAUAGUGCUAAUAUCACAAACAAAAGUUCAAGACGAAGCCGACACAAGGCAAACUAGAGGGGCCAAAUGAGCAACUAAAGUCUAUAAUCUCACCCCUCCAUUCGUCCCAUCGCACAGAGUUGUUUACUGUUGUUACAACUUGUGAAAACAGAAAUGCAUCCUCUGUCUAUAAACGUAGGGAAAAACUUAGUGCGGUUUUUUGUUACUUACAAAUUAAACAUCCAUUUCGGUUGAAGGUAAAGAGACCCAAAUUCUGCUUUUUAGACUGCAUGAUCCAUUCAUACAUAUUUGUCGUACCUUGCCCAUCCAGAUCUUAGCGAUUUAUUGUUGACACCUGAAAUUUUGCAGAUAAGUUUCCAUCUUUGUAAAACCAAGAAAAAUAAUAAUAAACGAGAGAAUCUAAUUUGGACAUUUAUGUAAGGAUCUAAACCCAUAGUCUAAAUCGCUCACUUUGGCCCGGUCUACCAACUCAGCCUCUAGCCAAGCCCAUCAGGAAUUUGGCCGGCCCAUCAUCUUAGCCCAUGAAGCCCAAAUUUAAAGUCGGAUUAAGCAACUUCUGCACAGGCCCAGAUUUACAAUUUUAAGUUGGAGCCCAUAAAGCCCGGGAGAGUUUGGCCCAUAAAGCGCGCACGUGCAGGGACUGAGAAGAGCGAACGAAUUCUGGCAAGGGACACGUAACAAAGGACCACAUUACACCAGAUAGCACUUCACGGACUGACAAAAUUUCCUUCUCUCUACUUACAAUUCCAGAGAAUUCGUAGUCCAUUCUUGUUCUCCGGACAUCGCUCGCAGUUGCCGUGGUUGAUCGUCACUUCAAUCUAUCUCCACCGCGGAAGAGGUGGUUGAGAAUCACCUGUAUGAAAAUUGAUAGAAUAAUUGUAUAUUAAACCGCAUCUUCAUCUAAAAACUUGAGUUUUUAAAACAGCGGUUUUACAAAAUCUUGAAAUUAAUCGUGGUGUGUUCUUUCAAGUGUUCUUCUUCUUUUUUCUAAUGUUCGUAGGAUCCAGUUUAGAUACAUUUGAAUCCUUUCUGCUGUUCUACUUGAUUUCGCCGAGGAUAAUGUUCUGCCUACGGAAGUUGAACAGGAAUGAAAGUGAGAACGAUGGAGGCUUGAAGAAGUGAGAGUUUUGUGAUUCUGCGAUUGAGUAAUAGUUUAUGCCUGUUUGCAAAACAAAAGAAAAGAAGUGGAACGGUAGCAUUCAGACGAAGAAGAAGAACUCGUGCCUUGUGGUGUGACGGCGUUGGACUAAGAAAGAAACGAAAGGAAAUAAAAAAAAACAAUAAGUAAAAUUAAUAAAUUAAACAUAAUAAAUAAAAAAACGAAAAAUAAAAUGCGGAAUAGAAAUGAUUGGAAAGUGUGAGUCCUAGCUAGACAGUUGCAGCUUGGAAAUAGUUUUAAUCGAAUUUCAUUUUAUUCGAAUUCAUCUAGUUUAAGAGUAAUUAUAUUUGGAUUUCGAAAAAAUUUGAUUUUUUAGCUUUUAUUUUCUUUUAGAUGAAAUGGAUAAGCAGACAAGAAAAAACAUUAACAAAGAAAAGGAUAAAAAAAAAAUCUCAUUUGAUUCAUAUUAGAAUUACUUUUAUGGGUCAUUUUAUUGAUUUCCGUCUUUAAUAUCAUUAGUGUAAUUCUCUUUAGUUGAAAUUAGACAUUGACUUUGAUUUUGAAAAUUAUCUCACGGUGGUCAUGCCUGGCUCAAUAAUAAGGCAAUAAAUAUACUUUACUCCAUUCGUACCGGAUUAUUUUACUGCACUCUACUUUUUGUUGUCAAUUUUUAUACCGCAUUUGAGUAUCGUGAGGUAUUAGCUCAUGGGAAUCAUGUCUAGGGACUUAAUAACAAGACCAUUUUUUUUUCUAAGUCAUAUUGGAUUAAUGUCACAAAAAACCCCAAACUAGUAUAUCUAUAAUAAAUUUAUCUAAAACAAUUUUUUUUGAAAAAUAGCCUAGUUAAAUAAAUGCACGAGGCAGAUAAAUAGCUAAUAUUUUCGUUGUUGUUGGGAGCAAGAAGUAUGUUAAAGAAUGGCCCAACCUUUUGGCCAUGAUGUUUGUGGACUCGAUAAGUAAGAUUAAAGACCACGAAUUAGACUCCUCCGCUAACUUAUUUGUCCAUCAAUCAAGAAAAGCACCAUAAAUUCCUAAUGAGACCUUUCGUGGGGUGGGGUUUGUACGGGAUGAUAUUACACCAGGCCGAUUCCCACGACACCAGAGAAUGGACAAGACCUCAGGCGACGGAAAUGCCCGUCGCUAAAGUGUAAAAUCUCGUUCCCGUCUCUCGCUAGGGACGGAAAAGGGGCUGAAUGGAACCGCUCCAGAGCAUGAGCAAGUUUUUUUUGUCAUUUAAAUAGUAAUAAGAGCAUCUUUAUCUUAUAGUUACCGUAUCGAUUGAAGUAGUGCAAGAAUUCAUGAUCUAUUGUUCACUCUCAAAAUGUUUAAAUUGUGCCAAGAAUUCAUGUUUUAGAAUGAAUAAUGAGAAAUAUUUUGAAAAGGUUUGGAGAUAGAGAAAUGACCCAUUCACUUAUUUUGAUGUGAAUAUGUCUACACAAUGAGUGAAGAAUUUUUUUGUUGUUUGUGAGAUCUUGUCUUGAAUGGUCCCAGUAACAUGGGAUAUACAUGGUGCAACGUUGUACCGAGCAAAUUUUUCUCAAAGGUUAAUUUCUUCACUCGGAAAUAACGAAACGUGAGUAGAGUCAAGAAGAAGACAAAUUGCUUCACCUUUUAUGCUUAGUUAAGACAAAACUUUGUGUAAUUGCACGAUUAACUGGGGUACCGCAUACACAAUAGCAAACAGUUUGCUCUGUUUUUACUUAACUAGACAAUAUGAACAGAACGACCAAGCCCAGGGAAAAGUAGAUGCGUCAUUGAAUGAUUGAGUGCGGGUUAUGUUAGAUGAUGUUCGGCAAGUACUAAAAAUUUGCUCUACCGUGCAACGACAUAAUAUUCUUAUGAGUAGAAAUUAUCUUCAACUGGUCUCCUUGAGUACAUAAUUUAUCUCGAUGUGAAGUUAAGAUUGAUAGAACAAGAAGAAAUGCAUGACUGGCUAUUUUACUCCUAGAAUUGCGUUCAAAUGAUUCAAAAUGUCAAGUUUUGUUCCUUUGGUCACAGGAAUGCAAGCUUGGUUGUGCCUUUGUUGACAUGCCGCGAUUUCAUUAGUUUCCUAUAACAAGCGGACUUCUAUAAUAUUUGCAAAAUACAACCAAUCGUACUUUGAAAUUAAGAUCUUUUCAUAGAUAUCAAUAGUGCCCACAACAGUAUAUUUUUGUCUCUGGUUUCUAUCUGUUUUGUCAUAAACAAACCAAGCAGUAGAAAAAUAGUAGACAGCAAUGUUGGGCUAAUGCACAAUCCAAACAACUAUAAUUGUGUGGGAGUAACAAUCUGCACAAGACAAUGGCCAAUUCCACCUCUACCUCCCCUCAAUAAGGGAGACUGAUCAAAAUUCUAAACAAUCUUAAUUUCUCUUAAUGGAUUACACAAUAGAAAUCACAUUCAUCAUAAGUGACCAAAGAAAAUGUUCACCAAUUGUAAUUCUAAAUGAAAAUAGCACUAAUAUCACAAACAAAAAGGACCCACAUAAUGCAAUCAUCGAAAGGGGUCAGAUGGGCACCCAAAGUCUUCAAUUUCGACCCUAAAAUCACACCAUUUCAUAGACUUUUUUUGCCACUAUCCUUUCAUAGACUUUUUUGCUACCGUCCUAACGAGUAACCAAAGUCUUCAAUUUCGACCCUCAAAUCACACCAUUUCAUAGACUCUUUUGCGAUUAUCCUUUCAUAGACUCUUUUGUCAUUGUCCUAAUGAGUAAUCAAAGUCUUCAAUUUCAACCCUCAAAUUGCAGCAUUUCAUACUCUUUUGUCAAUAUCUUAAUGAGUAACCAAAAUCUUCCAUUUCGACCCUGAAAUCGUACCAUUUCAUAGACUUUUUUAUCACUGUCCUAACAAGCAACCAAAGUCUUCAAUUUUCACUCUCCAAUUGUACUGUUUCAUGGACUUUUUUUUUGCCGCUGUCGCAUCCUGUUGUUAUAUGACCCAUUGGUUUGCCAACUGCCAGGCAAAUAAAGAUCUAUGGGCUGAAUUUUCAGUCAAUGAUUUGUCAAUUCGGGCCCGAAGGUUUUUAUUAUGUUCCCUAGUAGCUACACAUUAGGCCGAUUCCCACCACCACCAGAAAAUGGAAAAGACCUCAGGCGACGGAAAUGCCCAUCGCUAAAGCCUAAAAUCUCGUUCCCGUCUCUCACUAGGGACGGAAAAGGGACUGAAUGGAACUGCUCCAGAGCAUGAGCAAGUUUUUUUGUCAUUUAAAUAGUAAUAAGAGCAUCUUUAUCUUAUAGUUACUGUAUCGAUCGAAAUAGUGCAAGAAUUCAUGAUCUAUUAUUCACUCUCAAAAUGUUUAAAUUGCUCCAAGAAUUCACGUAUUAGAAUAUAUGACGAGAAAUAUUUUGAAAAGUAUUUUGAAAAGGUUUGGACAUAAAGAAAAGACCCAUCCACUUAUUUUGAUGUGUAUAUGUCUAUACAACGAGUGAAAACAAAAAUUGUUGUUUGUGAGAUCUUGUCUUGAAUGGUCCCAGUAAUAUGGGAUAUGCAUGGUGCAAUGUUGUACCGAGCAAUUUUUUCUUAAAAAUUAAUUUCUUCACUCAGAAAUAACGUCGGUAAAGUCAAGAACAAGAUGAAUUGCUGCACCUUUUAUGCUUAGUUAAGACAGAACUUUGUGCAAUUGCACGAUAAAAUGGGGUACCGCAUAUGCAAUAGCAAACAGUUUGCUCUGUUUUUACUUAACUAGGCAAUAUGAACAGAACGACCAAGCCCAAGGAGAAGUAGAUGCGUUGUUGAACAAUUGAGUGCGGGUUAUGUUAGAUGAUGUGCGGCAAGUACUAAAAAUUGGCUCUGCCGUGUGACAACAUAAUAUUCUUAUGAGUAAAAAUUAUCUUCAACUAGUCUCCUUGAGCACAUAAUUUAUCUCGACAUGAAGUUAAGACUGAUGGAACAAGAAGAAAUGCAUGACUGGCUAUUUUACUACUAGAAUUGCGUUCAAAUGAUUCAAAACGUCAAGUUUUGUUCCUUUGGUCACAGCGAUGCUAGCUUGGUUGUGCCUUUGUCGACAUGCCGGGAUUUCAUUAGUUUCCUAUAACAAACGGAAUUCUGUAAUAUUUGCAAAAUACAACCAAUCGUACUUUGAAAUUAAGUUAUUUUCCUAGAUACCGAUGGUGCCGACAACUGUAUAUUUUUGUCUCUAAUUUCUAUCCAUUUUGGCAUAAACAAACCAAGCGGUAGGAAAAUAGGAGACAGCAAUGUUAGGCUAAUGCACAAUCCAAACAACUAUAAUUAUGUGGGAGUAAGAGUAACAAUCAGCACAAAACAAGGGCCAAUUCCACCUCUAUCUCUCUCUCUCAAUAAGGGAGACUGAUCAAAAUUCUAAACACUCUUAAUUUCUCUGAAUGCAUUACACAAAAGAAGUUAUAUUCGUCAUAAGUGACCAAAGAAAAUGUUCACCAAUCGUAAUUCUAAAUGAAAAUAGCACUAAUAUCACAAACAAAAAGGACCCACAUAGCGCAAUCAUUAGGUGAACGAAAGGGUUCAAAUGGGCUCCCAAAGUCUUCAAUUUCGACCCUAAAGUCUUCAAUUUCGACCCAAAAAUCACACCAUUUCAUAGACUUUUUUGCCACUGUCCUUUCAUAGACUUUUUUGCUACAGUCCUAGCAAGUAACCAAAAUCUUCAAUUUUGACUCUCAAUUCACACUAUUUCAUAGACUCUUUUCCCAUUGUCCUUUCAUAGACUCUUUUGCCAUUGCCCUAACGAGUAAUCAAAGUUUUCAAUUUCGACCCUCAAAUUGCACCAUUUCACACCAUUUCAUAGACUUUUUUGCCACUCUCCUUUCAUAGACUUUUUUGCUAGACUCCUAAUAAGUAAACCAAAAUCUUCAAUUUUGACCCUCAAUUCACACUAUUUCAUAGACUCUUUUCCCAUUGUCCUUUCAUAGAUUCUUUUGCCAUUGUCCUAACGAGUAACCAAAGUCUUCAAUUUCAACCCUUGCCAUUUCAUAGACUCUUUUACCAUUGUCCUAACAAGCAACCAAAGUCUUCAAUUUUGGCUCUCAAAUCGUAUCAUUUCAUAUGGACUUUUUUAGCCGGCUGUCACAUCCAUUUGUUAUAUGACCCGUUGGUCUGCCAACUGCCAGGCAAAUAAAGAUCUGUGGGCUGAAUUUUAUGUCAAUCAAUCAUCUGUCAAUUCGCCCUGUAGCUACACGUUAUGGCAUAGCACAAAGUCAUGCUGUCAUGCACCUAGAGAUUCAUCAGCAUUGCCCAAAUUUUGCAUUUUAUCACCAAAAUAUGCAUAAGAAUAGAAGAUUUGAUAGGAUUUGAUUAUAGAAAUAUAUGUAAAUAUAUUAUUUCUUGCAUAGCGGUUAGAGAAUUGUUAAUUAAAUAAGCAUAAAAAAUAGAUGUUAGGAUAAGAGCUUUUAUAAAGUGACCUAAAAUUAAAUUGUUACCCAAAACUCACAUGAGAGCGCCGUGUGGUACGUGGUUUUUGUGUAUCGUUCUUUUUAAUAUAUAUAUAUAUAUAUAGUUACAUAGAUGGAAAAAUUGUCCAAAAUCCUAAACCUAUUGUAUUUGUUAAUUUAAUCCUAAACUUUUCAAUUUAACUAAUUUAGUCAUAAAUCUUUUCAUAUUUUGCCAAUUGAGUCAUCCAGUCAAUUCUAAUCAAAAAUCGCUAACGUGGACAUUAGACGUUCCAGUGACUUGACCAGCACUGAAGCAAAUAAUUUUAAAUAAUAUUUUAAUAUUUUUUGAUUUUUUAUUUCUUUUCUUUUUAUUUUCUUCCCUUUUGCCUCUAGUUGAUCAUCAAGCUUGGACGAUCGGCUAGAAGAACCGGUGAGGUUGACCUCACCGACCUCAAGCGAGCCUCGCCCACAUAUGGCAAGGCUCGACUUGGCCAUUCACAUCCAUUUUCUCCUUUCGUUGACUAGUCAAGCUUUCUCAUUUUUUCUUUUGUUGUCAUCAUGUUUUACUUUUUAACCAAUCCAAUAAUCAAAUAUGCUCAAAUGUUAGAUAAUCUCCUUUAUUCUACAUAACAUAAAUCAUAUUCCUUCAUUGAUAAACGUGUUUUAAUAUGUGUCUGUUCUCUUCCUUGCUAUUAGCGUCGAUGAUUUUUACAUUAUGUUAUAUGGGGUUGUUAUUCAUGGAAUGUGAGAAAUGCCAAGUAAAAGUAUUUGUCCAUUCGGACACAAAGAUGUUGCCUUAAAGAUUAAGCUUAAAAUUUUGAUAAAAUAGAUGGGAAAUAGAAUUUUUUUUUUUUUUUUGAGAUUCGUAUGAUAGAAACUAAGUAACACUGUUCAAAAACACUAUGAACCGUCUUAAUUUCCCGAAGACAUUACACAACGUAAAUCAUAUUCCUCAUCAGUGACCCAAGGACGCACACAUUCAUAUCACAAGGCACCAAGCACCACCUAUAAAAUGUGCUUCACUCUCUCAUACUCGUUGUGUUUUUAUGUUUGUGAUAAUUACUUGUAGUAUUAUAAAAUGAGCCUCAUUGAUAGUGAUAAGUAAUUAUCGUAUAAUAAACCUUGAUGUAGGACUUUACUCUCACUUUAAUAAUAAGAUUUUUCAUGUAAUAUAACUUAAAUUGAGAAAAAGGGAUAUGAGAAUAAAAUAACAUUUAACCUGCCUUGGAUCUUUGAUAUAUACAUGGUCGACUAGUUUCAAAUGUUAAUUACCACAAUAAUAUGCGUGAAUCUUUUUUUUUUUUUUUUGCAUCUAUUAAAUCACCAAAAUAUGUAUAAGAAUUAGAGAUUUUCUAGCAUUAGAGAUUUUAAAGUCCAUAAAAAUUGAAUUUAUAGGCAAAAUUCACAUGUGAGAGUGCCUCGGUUGACCCAGUCUCCACGGAUGAACGUCAAUUAUUUGCGUCUACUUUCUCCUUUUGUUGACUAGUCAAACUUUCUCAUUUUUUCUUUUAUUGUUACCAUGUCUGACUUUUUAACCAAUCCAAUGGUCAAAUAUAACCAUUUCACGUACGCUUUUGCUGCUUUCUCCACGAUUGACCCAAGUCUUCCAUGCAGCUACACGUUAAGGCACUGCACAAGGUAAUGCGCACGCACCUGAAUAUUCGUAGGUACUGCACACGUGUUUCAUCACUUUAAAAGUCAUUGGUUCGAUGCAUCCUAGCAUAAGAUGAGCCGUGUUCAUCUGUUUCACUCUCUCGUACUCUGCUCAUCAAAACAAAGGAGUCUUUGUUUCGAACAAAAUGGCUUCCUCAUCGUGCUUCUACAUGUCCAUACACUUUCUUUUCUUGUAUUUGUCAUCUCAGCCGAUUGGCGCACACAAUCUCUCUCGUUCUGCGAAACCUCUAUGUCUCGAGGAUGAAAUGUCUGCACUGCUACAGUUUAAAGAGAGGUAUGAAAUCGCCAAUGUUCAGUUUAAAGAGAGGUAUGAAAUCGCCAAUGUUUCGGGUGGUCCUCUCGCUCGUCCCAAGACUCUAUCCUGGAAAAAUAGUCGGGAUUGUUGCUCUUGGGAUGGGAUCGAGUGCGAUGAGAACACAGGCCACGUAAUUGUUCUCGAUCUGGGAAGUAGUUUUCUCUAUGGUUUUAUCGACAACAACAGUACCCUCUUCCAGCUUGCUCAUCUUGAAAAGCUCAAUCUCAGCAACAAUCACUUCAACUACUCUCAAAUACCGUCCCGAGUUGGAUAUCUCUCGAGAGUGACUCAUCUCGAUCUCUCUGCUUCCGUUUUUUCUGGCCAAGUUCCAUCAGAAAUCUUCAAACUUACAAGGUUGGUGUACCUCAACCUGAGUUGCAAUUGGGAUCCACGUGAUGAAAGAAAUUUGUUGCAGAUGAAAGCGCCGGGCCUGAGAAGCCUAGCUCAAAAUCUGACCAGCCUGGAAGAACUUCUCCUUGGUUCCGUCAACAUGUCGUCCCAAGUGCCCAACACUCUGGCGAAUCUGUCUUCACUGAGAAGGCUGGACAUGCUUGAGUGCGACCUGCACGGUGUAUUUCCGUCUGCCAUUUUUCAUUUACCGAAGCUGCGAUAUCUAGAUGUGGGUUACAAUGAAGUCACGGGCCGCUUGUCUAAGUUCAACUCGAGUAGUCCUCUUGAAGAGCUGCGACUGGGAGACACGAGCUUUUCUGGGGAGAUACCCGCUUCAAUCGGAAUCCUUCCUUCCUUGAGCGAUCUCGAUGUAAGUUUUUGCCAAUUCUCAGGAUCCAUCCCGGCUUCACUUGCUAAUCUUAGCAACCUCAAAGACCUGGGUGUCUCAGGGAACCCAUUCACUGCCCAGUCCAAUUCCUCUAUUUCUUGGGUUUGGACGAAGAAGAAGCUCACAUAUUUAGCACUUCAAAAGAUCAAUUUAUAUGGCGAGAUUCCACCUUCAAUCGGAAACUUGUCUCAGCUUGAAUUUUUAUCGUUAGAUGGCAACCAAUUAAGCCGUGCCAUCCCAUCUCGGCUCAUGAACCUCACUCGACUGACUUCUUUAAGCCUCGGAAGCAAUCGACUGUCGGGUUCUAUACCGUCUUGGCUUAUGAACAUGACUCAACUGGUUCACCUUGACCUUUCAGUCAAUAAAUUCCACGGUGAGAUACCUUCAUCAAUCUCUCAACUUCAAAAUCUAGAGGAACUCUGCCUUCUCGAAAACAACUUCAGCGGUACUAUUGAGCUAGACAACUUUCACAAGUUCAAACAUUUGGAAGCGCUGCAAGUAUCAUCUAACAGGCUAUCAGGCUGCAUGAGUAGCGCAAAUCUUAUUAUUCCUCAGCUUACUACCCUAGGAUUGGCUUCGUGCAAUUUGAGUGAGUUUCCGGCAUUCUUACAAAACCAAGAGGAUAUUACGUGGUUGGACUUGUCCGAUAACAACAUUACUGGAGAAGUUCCCUUUUGGGUGUGGGACGGAAGAUUUAAAAGCAUGGAGCACCUGAAUCUCUCCCAUAACUUCUUAACUGGUCUUGAUCGAUAUUACCCGAUGCACGCUUUAGAUAUGUACACGAUAGACCUCUCUCAUAACAUGUUGAAAGGACCACCCCCUGAAGCACCGUCAUCGACAGUGACCUAUAUAGUAUCCAACAACAGCCUGACGGGAGCGUUGCCAGCAUGGAUAUGCAAUUUAAGUUCAGCAAUCACACUAGACUUGUCUUUUAACAAUUUGACUGGUGUGCUUCCCAUUUGUUUGGGCAAUAUCAGCAAAUCACUCGUGGUAUUGAACCUAAAAGGCAACAAUUUCCAAGGAAGCAUUCCAGAGCUCUCGAUGAGGGGGACACAAUUGACGAUGAUUGAUUUGAGUGACAACCAGUUGCGAGGCAAUUUACCGAGGUCCUUGGCCGAUUGCAAAAAGCUCGAGUUCAUUGACUUUGCAAACAAUCUUAUCAUGGACACCUUCCCAUCAUGGUUGGGAUCACUACCGGAGCUUCAUGUCCUUAUUUUGCGAUCCAAUAAAUUCCACGGUGUCAUAGAAAGGCCUAAAUCUAGUCAUGCAUUCCUUAAGGUACAGAUACUUGACCUGUCUUCUAAUAAAUUCAUCGGUAAGUUGCCUGUGGAAUUCUCUUGGUCUUGGAAUGCCAUGAAAUCCGAGAUGCAGGACUUUGCAUACAUGGGCAAUAAUCUAUAUCCGCCACAAUUCAAUGUGUACUCCUACUAUGGCUAUUAUGAGUUUUCCAUGACAGUAAUUUACAAAGGGCUUAAACAGUAUUACCCAAAGAUACUAGAAGUCUUCACGAUCAUUGACCUCUCCAGCAAUUUGUUCAAAGGAGAGAUCCCCAAUGCCAUAGGUGAUCUCAGAGGAUUGCGAGGGCUGAACCUUUCCAACAAUCUCCUCACUGGUCACAUCCCAUCGUCGUUAGGGAAUCUCACAGCACUUGAGUCAUUGGACCUUUCUCAAAACAAACUNNNNNNNNNNNNNNNNNNNNNNNNNNNNNNNNNNNNNNNNNNNNNNNNNNNNNNNNNNNNNNNNNNNNNNNNNNNNNNNNNNNNNNNNNNNNNNNNNNNNNNNNNNNNNNNNNNNNNNNNNNNNNNNNNNNNNNNNNNNNNNNNNNNNNNNNNNNNNNNNNNNNNNNNNNNNNNNNNNNNNNNNNNNNNNNNNNNNNNNNNNNNNNNNNNNNNNNNNNNNNNNNNNNNNNNNNNNNNNNNNNNNNNNNNNNNNNNNNNNNNNNNNNNNNNNNNNNNNNNNNNNNNGAUUGGAGUCGUCAUCGGAAAUGCAUUUAUUUCUGGGAAACAUGAUUGGUUUGAAGGAAACACCAAGAGAAGGCGACGACCUAGUCGGAGGCAGCCUAGGAGAGGUAGGAACUCUUGGUCAGGCAAGCUUUUCAAUUUAUGCAGAUAUUAGAACUUCCUUAAAAACUGAGUUGGGUAUAUCCUUUAUUUUCUUAAAUGUACUUGCUUCGUAUUAUCUUUAUAGUUAUUUAUGUCAAACUUCAUUUUCUUCAACUAAUCUCUCGUCACAUCUAUUUAUAAAGCCAUUGUCAACUUGUAAACCUAGCUCAUGUGCGUCUUUUCCUAUCAAUGUUCUGGCAAGAGUACUACAAUCGAACACUAUCCGAAUUGCCACAAGGAUUUUUUUUUCUGUCUGGGGUUCACAUCACUUGCUUAAACCUGUUUACAGGUUCUAGUAAAACAAUCAAGGGUACACUGUUCUCAUAGCUUUAUGCAAACUAGACUCUUAUCCACACCUCGAUCAUUUGCUUUAGUUGUUUGUCACCUCACAAAUUAUACAAACAACAGUUGUAUUGACAUUUGAAACAAAAUCCGCAUUUGGAGAUUGAUUGGACAAGAACCAUGACAAAUGAUUCUCGUGAAAAAUAUACAUAUCAGAUUUGCUUUUUGGAUAUUCUUUUAUGUUUGUGCGGUAAAAAAUCGAAUUCUCUCUCAUAAAGCAGCAUAUCAUGUUGAGAACCAACAUGGCGCAGGAGAAUUUCCUAAAGUUCUUACCAUGCUUGCUAAUCAUGUACUUGGUAAAUGUCAUUUGAUUUAUCUAUUUAAACUUUUAUUUUUUUCUCAAAGAAUGAUCAUUUGAUAUGUUGAACUAUUGUUGACACCUGAAUUUUUGCCGAAAAGUCAAGUUUCAGUCUUUGUAAAACCAAGAAAAAUAAUAAUAAAUCAACAAACGAGAGAGUCCAAUUCGGCCGUUUAUGCGAGGACCUAAACCCAUUUGCCUGAGCCCAUCUAUUAAGUCUAAGUCGCUCACUUCAGCCCGGUCCACUAACCCAGACCACUAGCCAAGCCCAUCAGGAAUUUGGCUACCCACCAGCCUAGCCCAUGAAGCCCAAAUUUAAAGUCGCAUUAAGAACCUUCUGCACAGGCCCUGAUUUGCAAGUUUAAGUCGGAGCCCACAAAGCCUGUGAGAGUUUGGCCCAUAAAGCGCGCGCGUACAGGAACUGAGAAGAGCGAAGGAAUUCUGGCAAGGGGACGUUGGCAAAAGAACCCGCUCUCCCUCCAGCUUCCUCUCUCAUCCAACUGACUUUGGUGAUUCCUUCUCUCUAGAAUCCAAUUCCAGAGAAUUCGUACUCGAUUCUUCUUCUCUGGACAUCGCUCGCAGUUGCCGCCUUCGAUGGUCGCUUCAAUCCAUCUCCACUGCCAUGAGAAAAAGGCUCUGUUCGCCUUGUUCUCAGUCAUUGUCGCUCAAGAGCUUGAGCCGCGGUUCGCCAUUAACUCUUUCGCUGAUUCCCCCCUACAAAUUUUGCUUCUGUGACUGUUUUGCUCUGGUUCAAUCAAUAAUUAUUGCAGGUAAACAUCCUUACUUAACGAACCAUAUCUGCUCUGUUUAUGCUUAAAAACAGAGGCCGCGAAUCCUGCAUACUGCUUGUGUACAGAUCUUAUGUAGCCGAGCUUCCGCUAGCGAUUUGAACUCAUCGUGUUUUGUUGAUGAUAUGGAGACAAAUUCUUGGCAUGUUCCUGCGUUUAGAUCAUUAGAUUAAAUUGUCUACCAUGUGUUCGACAAUUUUUUAGUGAAACCUGCGUGUGAAAUUGAUUAAAAUCCUUGCGUAUUGAUGUUUGGUUGAUUCUUACGUGUUCAGACUGAGACGUCUGUGUUUGAUCCUCUCAUUGCACCAUUGAAUUGACCUGCUGUGAUGCUCCGCCAGAGACGUUGCCUGCUGUGUCUCUGCUUAUUUUUAACCUCUGUUUCAGUCCAUUUCAUUAGUCUUGUUGUCAAACCUAAACAUAUGCCGAUUGAACUUUAGAGGUGGUUAGGAAUCACCUAUAUGAAAAUUGAUAGAAUAAUUAAAUAUUAAACAUCGCCUUUGUCUAAAAGUUUAACGUUUAGAACAAUGGUUUCAGAAAAUUUCAAAAAAAUAAAAUUGAUUGGCUAGGAAGUUGAACGGGAAUGAAAGAGGGAAUGAUGGAGGCUUGAAGAAGUGGAGAGUUUUGUGAUUCUGCAAUUGAGUAAUAGUUUCUGAAUGUUUGCAAAACAAAAGAAAAGAAGUGGAACGGUAGCAGAUUCAUGACGAAGAAGAAAAACUCGUGCUAUGCGGCGUGACGGCGUUGAACUAACCAAGAAACGAAAGGAAAUAAAAAUAGUAUAUUAAACUUAAUAAAUAAAAACGAAAAAUAAACUGCGGAAUGAAAACGAUUGGAAAUUGUGAUUCCUGGCUAGACGGUUGCAUCUUAGAAAUAGUUUUGGCUGAAUUUCAUUUGAUUUGAAUUCAUCUAGUUUAAGAGUCAUUGUCUUCAGAUUUCAAAACAAUUUGAAUUUUUAGCUUGUAUUUUCUUUUAGAUGAACAGACAAAAAAACAAUAACAAAGAAAAGGAUAAAAAGAAAAAUCUCAUUUAGCGGUCAUUUUGUUGAUUUCUGUGUUUAAUAUUGUCAAUGUAAUUCUCUUUAGUUGAAAUUAGACUUUGACUCUGAUUUUGAAAAUUAGCUCACUGUGGAUCAAUAAUAAGAUAAUAUAUAUUCUUUACCCGACUCAUAUCAAGUUAUUUUACUGCACUUCACCUUUUUUUGUCAAUUCUUUUACCGCAUUUGAGUAAAGUGAGGUAUUAGCUCAUGGCGAUCACGUUUAGGGACUUAAUAACAAGGCCAUGUAAUUUUUUUGUCAAACUAAUAUUAGAUUGGGUUGAUACCACAAAUAACCCAGAUUCGGUACAUUUAUAAUAAAUUUAUUCGAAAUUAAUUUUUUUAAAAACACCUUAGCCAAAUAAAUGCGCUAGGCAAAUAAACGGCCAAUAUUUUCGUGUUUGAAGCUAGAAGUAUCUUAAAGAAUGGCCCACCUUUCGGCAAUGAUUUUUAUGGACUCGAUGAGUAAGAUUAAAGACGACGAAUUAAACUACUCCGCUAACUUAUUUGUCCAUCAAUUUAGAAAAGCACCAUAAAUCCCUAAUGAGACCUGGGGGAAAAAUGACAUUCCAUCUGGCUGAUUCCCACCACCACCGGAAAAUGAAAAAGACCUCAGGCGACAGAAAUGCCCGUCGCUAAAUUGUAAAAUCUCGUUCUCGUCUCUCGCUAGGGAGGGGAAAGGGACUAAAUGGAACCGCUCCGGAGCAUGAGCAUGCUUUUUUGUCAUAUAUAUAGUGAUAAGAGCAUAUUUAUCUUAUAGUUACCAUAUCCAUCGAAAUAGUGCAAAGAUUCAUGAUCUAUUAUUCACUCUCAAAACAUUUAAAUUACGCCAAGAAUUCACGUUUUAGAAUGAACAAUGAGAAAAUUUUUGAAAAGGUUUGGACAUAGAGAAAUGACCCAUCCAGUCGUUUCGAUGUGCAUAUUUCUACACAAUGAGUGAAGAAUUUUUUUGUUGUUUGUGAGAUCUUGUCUUGAAUGGUCCCAGUAACACAGGAUAUGCAUGGUGCAACAUUGUAUCAUGCAAUGUUUUCUUAAAAGUUAAUUUCUUCAAUUGAAAAUAACGGAACGUUGUAAAGUCAAAAAGAAGUCGAAUUGCUUCACCUUUUAUGCUUUCUUAAGACAGAACUUUGUGUAAUCGUAUGAUAAAAUGGGGUACCGAAUACACAAUAGCAAACAGUUUGCUCUAUUUUUACUUAACUAGGCAAUACGAACAGAACGACCAAGCCUAAGGAAAAGUAGAUGCGUCAUUGAAUUGCCUAUGGAUGACUGAGUGCCGGUUAUGAUAGAUGAUGUGCGGCAAGUACUAAAAAUUUGCUCUGGCGUGCAACGAUAUAAUAUUCUUAUGAGUAAAAAUUAUCUUCAACGGGUCUCCUUGAGCACAUAAUUUAUCUCGACACAAAGUUGAGACCGAUAGAACAAGAAGAAAUGCAUGACUGGCUAUUUAUUCCUUAAAUUGCGUUCAAAUGAUUCAAAACAUCUCAAGUUUUGUUCCUUUGGUCACAGCAAUGAAGGCUUGGUUGUGCCUUUGUCGACAUGCUGGGACUUCAUUACUUUCCUGUAACAAACGGACUUCCGUAAUAUUGCAAAAUACAACCAAUUGUACUUUGAAAUUAAGUUAUUUUCCUAGAUAUCGAUGGUGCCAACGACAGUAUACUUUCGUCUGUGGUUUCUAUCCGUUUCAGCAUAAACAAACCCAGCAUUAGGAAAAUAGUAGGCAGCAAUGUUAGGCUAAUGCACAAUCCAGACGGCUGUGAUUGUCUGGGAGCAACAAUCUGCACAAGACAAUGGUCAAUUCCAUCUCUAUCUCCCUCUCGAUAAGGGAGACUUUUCAAAAUUCUAAACAAUCUUAAUUUCUCUGAAUGCAUUAGACAACAGAAAUUACAUUUGUUAUAAGUGACCAAAGAAAAUGUACACUGAUCGUAAUUCUAAGGGAAAACAGCAUUAAUAUGACAAACAAAAAGGUCCCACACAACACAACCGUCGAGUGAACGAAUGGGGCCAAAUGGGCAACCAAAGUCUUCAAUUUCGACCCUCAAAUCGUACCAUUUGCCACUGUCCUAUCAAGCAACCAAAGUCGUUAAUUUCGAUCCUCAAAUCGUACCAUAUGCCAUUGUCCGCUGUCCACUUUCCUAAUGAGCAACCAAAAUCUUCAAUUUCAACCCUCAAAUUGUACAAUUUGCCACUAUCCACUGUCCUUACGAGCAACGAAAGUCUUCAAUUUCGACCCUCAAAUCGUAUCAUUUGCCACUGUCCACUAUCCUAAGUGCAACCAAAGUCUUCAAUUUUGACUCUCAAAUCAUACCAUUUACCACUAUCCAUUGUCCUAACGAACAACCAAAGUCUUCAAUUUUGACUCUCAAAUCGUACCAUUUCAUAGACUUUUUUGUCAUUGCCUUAAAGAACAACCAAAGUCUUCAAUUUUGACCCUCAAAUCGUUCCAUUUCAUGACUUUUUUUACCAUUUCUUAAAAGUUAAUUUCUAUGUUAUAUAUAUGUAAGGCCAUUAUUAACUUGUAAAACAAGCUUUUGUGCACCUUUUCUCUUUAUAUCAAUGCCCAAGCAAAAGUACUCCUACUGAACACUUGAUUCUACCACAGAGAUUCAUCUUCACCCAGGGUUCACACCACGAGCUGAUACCCGAUAACAAAUUCCAGUUAAACGAUCAAUAACAAGAUUACGGUGCUCUCAUGACUUAACGCAAUUUAGUAGGCUCUAACCCGACCUUUGAGGUGACAUUUAAGACACAAUUCGCAUACCGGAACUGUACCAAACGAUUCCCAUGGAAAAACAUUUUGCCGGCAUAAUCUCCGCCUCUCCUCCUUGUUUAUGGGGGUGAUUUCCCAUCUCUAUCGUCAUCUGCCGCUCCGCAUAGCUUCGAGCUCCAAGCCUGCGACGCCAUGAUCACUUGGGAUCGAGAGUCGUUUGAGGAAGUCGACGAGAAGCUCUCGGUUGAGCACAAUUCCCUCCCCACCGCUCGCGUUAACAUAGCAGAAGCAGAGUCCGCAAGAACCCAACAAAACCCUCGCAACCACAAUCACAAGAGCAGCCAUGCCUGAUUUCUCCUACCUUUCCGACACCGACGAUUACCCGGUGAGUUGACUUCGCAGUGGAAGACCUCAUUUCCCAGACCAAGGACCUCGUCGUCCUCGAGCCAAAUCGCUGCCAUCAACUGCU